ACAGAUGCUAAUACCGGAUAACAACACUAGACGCAUGUCUAGAGUUUGAAAGAUGGUUCUGCUAUCACUCUUGGAUGGACCUGCGGUGCAUUAGCUAGUUGGUAAGGUAACGGCUUACCAAGGCAAUGAUGCAUAGCCGAGUUGAGAGACUGAUCGGCCACAUUGGGACUGAGACACGGCCCAAACUCCUACGGGAGGCAGCAGUAGGGAAUCUUCCACAAUGGACGAAAGUCUGAUGGAGCAACGCCGCGUGAGUGAAGAAGGGUUUCGGCUCGUAAAGCUCUGUUGGUAGUGAAGAAAGAUAGAGGUAGUAACUGGCCUUUAUUUGACGGUAAUUACUUAGAAAGUCACGGCUAACUACGUGCCAGCAGCCGCGGUAAUACGUAGGUGGCAAGCGUUGUCCGGAUUUAUUGGGCGUAAAGCGAGUGCAGGCGGUUCAAUAAGUCUGAUGUGAAAGCCUUCGGCUCAACCGGAGAAUUGCAUCAGAAACUGUUGAACUUGAGUGCAGAAGAGGAGAGUGGAACUCCAUGUGUAGCGGUGGAAUGCGUAGAUAUAUGGAAGAACACCAGUGGCGAAGGCGGCUCUCUGGUCUGCAACUGACGCUGAGGCUCGAAAGCAUGGGUAGCGAACAGGAUUAGAUACCCUGGUAGUCCAUGCCGUAAACGAUGAGUGCUAAGUGUUGGGAGGUUUCCGCCUCUCAGUGCUGCAGCUAACGCAUUAAGCACUCCGCCUGGGGAGUACGACCGCAAGGUUGAAACUCAAAGGAAUUGACGGGGGCCCGCACAAGCGGUGGAGCAUGUGGUUUAAUUCGAAGCAACGCGAAGAACCUUACCAGGUCUUGACAUCCAGUGCAAACCUAAGAGAUUAGGUGUUCCCUUCGGGGACGCUGAGACAGGUGGUGCAUGGCUGUCGUCAGCUCGUGUCGUGAGAUGUUGGGUUAAGUCCCGCAACGAGCGCAACCCUUGUCAUUAGUUGCCAUCAUUAAGUUGGGCACUCUAAUGAGACUGCCGGUGACAAACCGGAGGAAGGUGGGGAUGACGUCAAGUCAUCAUGCCCCUUAUGACCUGGGCUACACACGU
Molecule: ribosomal RNA, 1079 nt
Filed under: Lactobacillus johnsonii
Lineage: Bacteria; Bacillati; Bacillota; Bacilli; Lactobacillales; Lactobacillaceae
Description: bacterial SSU rRNA
Rfam family: Bacterial small subunit ribosomal RNA
Source: RNAcentral